UCUAAUAUGGCAGAUUAGUGCAAUGAACUUAAGCUUCAUAAAUAAAGAAUUUUUCUUUUAUUAGAA
RNAcentral lists this transfer RNA (66 nucleotides) under Rhithrodytes bimaculatus. RNAcentral's name for it is "tRNA-Leu". Lineage: Eukaryota; Metazoa; Arthropoda; Insecta; Coleoptera; Dytiscidae. The record is from RNAcentral.